UUUAAAUUCUUUUACAGAUUCAGUUAGAGUAAGCCAGUCAUCGAAUCAACCUAAAGAUACAGCCUCAGAUAAUUCUGGUAAUAACCGUAUACAUUUGAGUGAUCUACAAAAUUUUUUAUCUGAAAUACCGGUUUCAAAUGAUAGUGGAUCAACUCAACAGAACAAUCUUGCCUAUGAGUUGAGUGCUGCUAUCUCUGCAAAUGUAUCUGUAAACAAUAAUUUGGAAAGUUCCCUGAAGGAGUUUCUACCUGAAAAUGAUACUUUAUUAACAAUUAUAUCUACACCCCAAUUCACUGAAGCGUUAUCUACGUUUUGGAAUGCUCUUAUAUCUGGACAAAUAGCUCCUAUUAUACAACAGUUUGGGUUCAGUAAAGAAGUAACAAAAGCAGCUGCAAAAGGAAAUAUCAAGAAUUUUCUAGUUGCUCUCGAAGCGGAGGCCAAACAAUCUCUUCAUUCUCAUGAUGAUCAUCAAACAAACUUAGAUACCGUUUCAACCCAUGAUGGAAACAAACAACUUCAAAAUAAAAAUUCAGGAGAUGAUAAAAAAGAUGGAGAUGACGAAAAUAUGGCAUUAGAUUGAAUAAUGUUUUCGUAUAAAUCUAAAAGCAGUUUGAGUUGCAAAAUUAUUGAUUAAUAAAAAAUGAAUUUCUAGCUAUUGUUUUUUAA
Trichogramma pretiosum is the source of this 666-nucleotide long non-coding RNA. RefSeq lists it as uncharacterized. The record is from RefSeq and is a predicted model, not a curated record. The transcript has 2 exons. NCBI's taxonomy places the organism in Eukaryota, Metazoa, Arthropoda, Insecta, Hymenoptera, Trichogrammatidae.